AGGUGGGGAAUGUCAUAGUCCACAUCAGCCCCCCAUGUGACAAGGGCCUCCACACAAGCACUUUUACCUGAGCAGGAGAGAUUCAUGACAGAGAGUAAAGGAGGUGAGCUGUGGAUCUACCUUUGCUGGUGGCUUCGUGGAUGGGUGACGGCUGACAUAUGGCGGUCUGAGGACUGGCGCCGUUUUCCAGGAGUAUCUCUGUGCACGUGGCACUGCCCGCCAUGCAGGAGUUGAACAGAGGGGUCACCCCGUCGAUGGUGGUGGCAUUAACCUGGGAGACAUUAGCACGUUAGCACGGUACCGCGUUUCACUCCCCGGUGACGGCCCACCUGAGAGAUCAGGUGUCUCAGCGUGAGGAGACGACCUCGGGCCGCGGCCUCGUGGAGGGGGGAGCGGUCCGCCCAUGACCCUGUGACACAGAGCACACACCUCAGUCCCGCUCGCAGGUAA
Anguilla anguilla (European eel) is the source of this 450-nucleotide long non-coding RNA. RefSeq lists it as uncharacterized. The record is from RefSeq and is a predicted model, not a curated record. Lineage: Eukaryota; Metazoa; Chordata; Actinopteri; Anguilliformes; Anguillidae. The transcript is spliced from 3 exons.